UACGGAGGGUGCAAGCGUUAUCCGGAUUCACUGGGUUUAAAGGGUGUGUAGGCGGGCUAUUAAGUCAGUGGUGAAAUCUCCGGGCUCAACCCGGAAACUGCCAUUGAUACUAUUAGUCUUGAAUUUUGUUGAGGUAGGCGGAAUAAGUCAUGUAGCGGUGAAAUGCAUAGAUAUGACUUAGAACACCAAUUGCGAAGGCAGCUUGCUAAACAAAUAUUGACGCUGAGGCACGAAAGCGUGGGGAUCAAACAGG
RNAcentral lists this ribosomal RNA (253 nucleotides) under uncultured bacterium. RNAcentral describes it as "partial 16S ribosomal RNA". It matches the Rfam family "Bacterial small subunit ribosomal RNA", at positions 524 to 776 of the family's 1533-position model. The record is from RNAcentral.